ACGGGGGGGGCAAGCGUUGUUCGGAAUUACUGGGCGUAAAGGGCGCGUAGGCGGCCUGCUAAGUCGGACGUGAAAUCCCUCGGCUCAACCGAGGAACUGCGUCCGAUGCUGGUGGGCUUGAAUCCGGGAGAGGGAUGUGGAAUUCCAGGUGUAGCGGUGAAAUGCGUAGAUAUCUGGAGGAACACCGGUGGCGAAGGCGGCUAUCUGGACAGAGACUGACGCUGAGGCGCGAAAGCUAGGGGAGCAAACAGGA
This 253-nucleotide ribosomal RNA is filed under the name uncultured prokaryote. Its description in RNAcentral is "partial 16S ribosomal RNA". It matches the Rfam family "Bacterial small subunit ribosomal RNA", at positions 525 to 777 of the family's 1533-position model. The record is from RNAcentral.